This 2666-nucleotide long non-coding RNA is filed under the name Hordeum vulgare. RNAcentral's name for it is "long non-coding RNA (HVUL_LNC002510)". Lineage: Eukaryota; Viridiplantae; Streptophyta; Magnoliopsida; Poales; Poaceae. The record is from RNAcentral.
GAGAGAGAGGCAGGGGGGGUUCUAACUUUGGUACCUGCUGGUGAUGUGCAGCGGUGGUGCGGCUGGUCCAGAUCCGGGAGCCACCGUCGCCGUGGUGACAGGAGAGAGUGCAAGGUGACUGCACUGCAGGCAGGUGAGGAGGCGACGAGAGCUGUGCUGCUAACCGCGAGGUGGAGCACCAGGGUCGGGAGUGGGAGCGCCGGUGGUGAGAAGAGAUGAAGCGGCGGAUAGCGACAGUGCGAAAGAGAGAGUGAGCUUAGUGAGUGUUUAGCCCUCAAACGGAUCUGAUCAAGUAGUACAUUGGAUGCUCACUGUUAUCUAAGUAAUUAGCUAUUAACAGUGCACACCGGGGUAGCUGUCAUCAGUUACAAGGCGCUGGCCGGCACAAGCGCACAAGGACAUGCCAUGUGAACGAGCGUGGUAAGCGAGUGUUAAAAAGACAGCAGUGGGGACUAGCGCCUAGACUCAAGUUGAUCAUAGUAUACUUGAAUCGACAGUAGGCAGCCGCACAAAGGCCAAAAGUAGUUGUAUUCUGCAGUAGUAAUAAUCGGGCUAUUAGCAGCACUUCUUGUCACACAGGUUGAAAAGCAAAAAAACAAGGACAAGGGGCUGUCAUCAUCUACAAAUAAAUCAGUACCAAUCAAUAAUACAAACUACUCCUGUCGUCCCAGAGAAUACUCUGUAUGUAUCGGGGAGAGGCUCGCUGGUUUUCUUUUAGUAAUACUUUGAUUCGUUAGGCUCUAGUUAACAGUUGCUCUAACAUGUAAGAUAUUGCUAUUUCACAAUAAGAUUGUGAGUCCUAAUUAACAACCACUGGGCCUCCAAUCAACCAACCUGUGCCGCUAUGCCUGGUGCUGAUGCCAGGCCAUGAUCAAAAUUGGUUUGGCUGCUUAGAUGCACCUUUAGUAUCUAAGCCUCUACUGCUAAACUGGUAGAGAACUGAAGGAGCCUCAGUCGUGGCGCACCUGAACAAGUGAUCGAGCUCAGUAGCUCAAGGCUGGACGAGCCAGCGAUAUGCUUGGGCCAAAGAUGUGUAUGUCCAUCUACACGUUGCUACCGCCAUCCACCGGAUCUGAUCAACCGAACCAAUUCCAAAUCCAAUAGUAAAUUAAAGACUAGGUUCCGGGUCUCGCGCAGCGCUGGUGGUGGUGUUGCGGUCUGUAAGGCGAUGGCCGGCACAAGCACAUGCCAUCUGAACGAGCUUGGUAAGAGAGUGGACAAUCAAUAAUAAAAACUACUCCUGUCGUCCCAGAGAAUACGCCAUCUGAACGAGCUUGGUAAGAGAGUGUUAAAAGACAUGCAGUUAGACUCGAGUUGUUCAUAUUAUAGCACGCAAAGACAUGAUGCCAUGUGAACGAGCUUGCUAAGCUGAGUGUUAAAAAUACGGGCACCCGGGGCUAGCGCCUAGACUCGAGUAGAUCAUAGUAUUAUACUUGAAUUGGUUCCCACAAGGCCCAGCUUUAUUCGCUUGAAGCUCAAGCUCGUCUCUUGAUGUAUGGUGGCCAUUAGUUAAUUUCUGGGGACGAAUCGAGAGACGAGAGAGACAGACAAUAGGACGGAGACAGCUUUAUUCCACUGGAAGCAAAGAAGCGUGCGUGGACGCAUGUCGGCAACUGGGUUGGUGACCAUGGUGCUGGAGCUAGCUAGGAAGGUGGCGGUGGAAGGAAGCUGGUGCUGGUGGAAAUAAACGCAAACACCUGCAGGGCGCGAGCAGAGCACAUGAGAGCUCCUUGGUGGCAGCUCGUUNACGCAAACACCUGCAGGGCGCGAGCAGAGCACAUGAGAGCUCCUUGGUGGCAGCUCGUUCGAGCAUGGCCUGCACCUGCAGCAGUUCCGUGCGGACGGCCUCGAUGUUGAGACCAAAGUGACUGCUGGCCGCCCAAGCCUCCAGCACACCAUCCGCAACGGGGGCUAGUGCCUUUCCCACCACCCAUUGUGCCGCGCCAAGGGCCGCGUCGGCCAUCGAUCCCCUGAUCGGAUGCAGGGAUGGAGGAUGUUCUGCGCACCUGCACUGGUCCAGGAACCAACAAAAGUUGAUAAAUCUUGGCUGCUGGUAGCUGCAAAUGAAAGGAGAGAUCAGUAGGUAUGUACGUUGACGCGCGCACGAGGUGUCGGUCUGCCGGUGAUGGAAGCCGCUGCCGUCUGCCUAGUCCCAGCUAGCUACAAAAAGGGGGUUGUGUUGAGUCUCUGUCAUUGAGACUUUGGGAGAGAAAGGGAGAGAGAGAGGGGGGGGGGAGGGGGUCUGAUUUUGGUACCUGCUGGUGAUGUGCAGCGGUGGUACGGCUGGUCCUGUCACCGUCGCCGUGGUGACAGGAGAGUGCAAGGUGACUGCACUGCAGGCAGGUGAGGAGGCGACGAGAGCUGCGCUGCUGACUGCAAGGUGGAGCAGCAGGGUCGGGAGUGGGGAGCAGGGGCAGGACGAACGCCGGUGGUGAGAAGAGAUCAAGCUGUGGAGAGCGACAGUGCGAAAGAGAGGGUGAGCUUAGUGAGUGUUUAGCCCUCAAACGGAUCUGAUCUAGUACUCCUACAUCGGAUGCUCACUGUUAUCUAAGUAAUUAACUAUUAACAGUGCACACCGGGGUAGCUGUCAUCAGUUACAAGGCGCUGGCCGGCACAAGCGCACAAGGACAUGCCAUGUGAAGGAGCGUGGUAAGCGAGUGUUAAAA